CCACUUAAUGGGCUGGGGAACACACAGGGGCUGGUUAUUCAAUUAUGCAUGUCAUAAACUGGGCAAGCAGGUGAUUGUAAAAGAAUCCCACACAACUGUACAAAGGGGCUGUACUGUGGCCAAGAUUCACAGCAUUGUUACCUGGUCACAAUCACAUUGCAGAAACUUAUUGUGGGCUGCAAAAGUGCUUUGGCCUUUUCUGAAAUGUAGGUAGAACUUCACUUCCUCUGCAAACCACAGCUUGCUGUUUCCAGACAAUGCUACUCAGGGUGAGAGCAAGUCAAGAUCCUCUGCAAUUCAACAUAAUUGCAUAACCUCAAGAUAUUACUUCAUAAGAAUUUGCCACUUGGGCAGAUCUUUUUAAAGUUAUUAAUUUCAAGCAAGUUUUAUCACCUCACACUUCUGAAUUAAAGUUAUCAGAUUGAGUUUAAUUGCCAAUUCGAACAAUUCAGAGCAUUUUGAAAUUCAACCACCAUUAGAAGCUUCAUUAACAAAUCUAUCAAUAACAUUGCAUGAAAACUGAAAGUCCAGGAAACUGUUCAGUUAUAGUUCAGUUUAGUUAUAAAUCUACAGCAGAGAUACUUUCUCCAGGUAUUGCCCACAAUCUGCUGAAACAGUCAACGCCUCUAGAUUCCGAGAUAUUAUCAGUUUUCCCAUUAUUUUUCUAUUACCGGCAGAUUCUGAUUUUUAAAGUGCCCCUUAACUUUAAGCAAUUACACAGAACCAAGAGCUUAUAAACAGAAGCCACCUUUUAUUUAAAAACACUAAUUUAACCUUGUAAAUGAACACAAACACUAAUACAAUAUUAACUGCCUUAAAUUUCAUUUUCAAUAUUGACCAAAGCUGCUUUUGCAUGUUCAACUGGAGUAAAUCAUUGUAUUAAGAAUUACGCGGCUCAAUACAAAACUUGAUUUAAUCUUGGCAGACGCCAGCAGAAUGCCCAAAACAACCCAGCUCCUGAUCGCAAGACAAGGUAAAAAGUUUCACAUCUUCACAAGUGCUCGUUAAAAUAGAGAAAUAGAUCAAUAAUUAAUUAACCAAGUAAUCUUUAGGGGUCAGUUAUGCUGCAAGUUAUUGCUUAUCUAACAUAGUUGUCACGAGACUUAUUCAGCAGGUUGAUACCAACAGAAGAGCAAGCCAAGUAACAAGUGACAAAUCUUUAUCUCGCACUGGAUACAAAUCACAGUUUAAAUGCAGCCAAUACCGGUCACCAGGCCCGCACCCCACUGGCAAACGGCGCUGCCUCUAGACGUAAACCAGGUUUGGUGAUUGGUCUGCAGUCGCCACCAGCCCAGUGACCCUUCAGGAUAUCUGGGCUCCUCCAUCUCUGACGAUAACCACGUUCCAGCACUCUACCGUUAACGGCCUCGGCUUUGUAAUUCACCAUAUGAAUAACUCUGCCUCUCGUCUUGCCACUGGGUCCAGAUAGACCACUACCAGGGAGUGAGGACCUGCGCAACUCUGCCUCUCUUAAAUCAAACUCACCCGCGAGUCACGACAUCCAAACCAAGGAUGUCAGUGGUCCUCAUCGCUUGUGAUGGAUGCGCACACACGCUCAACUCUGCCUCUCUCUUCUCGUUUAAGACAGGAAAUCAAAUCCAUAGGCUAUAUGGCUUCCUACUUCCAUUUCUAAUGCAUUUGAAAGCUACAUGCGACAAACUUUUGGUCAUGUCUUAAAGCUUUAAGUGGUUUAGGGUUACAUUUCUAAAUCCUCAAAUUAACUGUGGAACUGAAAACUAAAAAUGUGAAUAAUAUUAUUGAAACCCAUGUCUCGCAAAAGAUUGGCCCUGAAGCUUUGGCCGUUUGUCCGGCAGAUAUAACUAUGGCCUCCUCCUGGACUUGAGCUUUUUUCCUUCUGUCCUGUCAUGGGCUUGUAUUUUAAUUCUCCCUCAUCUUCGCCCAAACCAUUGCUGUGCUGUUCUCUCUUCUGCUGGACCCCAAGCAAAAGGGUGUUAAGAUUCCAAAAUAAAGGUGCUUAGUAUCCUUAAAAGAGUGCAGCUUUACAUUUUGGGAACAGUCUGGAAAGGCAUGGAUAACGAUGGCCAAAUAUAGGGCUUUAGUAAUUCAUCUGGUACCAUUCCUGUGAGCUGACCUAGCUCCUGGUUUACAGCUCCACUUUGCUUAAAAUCUUGUUCUGAUACUCUGCACUUAGAAUGAGUCCAUGUCCCCAAAUCAGCUCGGUGAUAUCUAAUAAUUGAUCCCAGUCUGCGACCGGACAUUCUCAUUACAUGUGUAGCCCAGCACCACUAUUGUAACCCUUUCACUGCCUCUGAUUUGUCAUGCAGCUUUUCAGGUAACCAGUAUUAUGAGGAGGAAUUCUUUGUAACCAAAUAUUUGAGAAUACUAUACUGUACAUUUUCUAUUAGGCCAUCACCACAAUUCCUCCCACAGUUAUGGCUCCUAUCAUUCUGGAAGUAAUUAAUGUGUCAUGAUCUGUCUGGAUAGCAUGCUUUCCACUGUAUAUGGGCACAUGUGACAAUUACAAAAAUUACGCCAGACUUUUUCCACAUCAUAUUUGAACAUCCUUUAUCACCAAAGCUCAUUUUUCCACUUGUAGUGUCAGUUGCUUCUGCUCCUGUCUCGUUACCUUUAGACUCAACUUUUCCAAAGCUGUUUGACCACUGCAAGCUGUAACUCAUUCAGUUGCAGUUCACAUGCUAACUACUUCAUCCCAUUAUCCUAGCGGAUGCUAUAUUGAUUGCAGCCUACCAGUAUGUAGGUUUCAAAAUUCUCACCCUUGUUUAAGUUCUCUAAUGCUUUGCUGACUGACUCUGUAACCGAUUCCAGCCAUUGCCAUCCAUCAGUUUUUGCGUCUGUUUUCCCAAUUUUCAGUGCCUUAUAUUGGAUAGAUUCAUAUUCCUAGGACCUGAGCUCUGUUAUUCCUUUCUAAAGCUCUCUGUCCCCAACCCUGUCUAUAUCUAUCUUUCUUACUCUGAUGUUUCUUUAAAUCUACCUCUUUGAACAAUGUUUUAAAAUCACUUGUAAUAGAUUUCUUGCACAAUUAAAAAUAUGUUGCAAGUGGCUUAUUUAAGAACAUUCGUAGAUUAAUGUCUUCAAAAAGAGGUUGUCUUCAUUCAUCUAUUUACUGUGUUUGUAAUAACAGUGAUUAUAUUGUUAGUGAAAUGAGAUAGAUAUUCUCUUUAGUAGUAACUUUGUAUAAAUGAAAUACACCACCGUCUGCUAGUCUGGGGGUCGAUACCAGAUGUCAGAGCCUGAAGGUCAAUUGGAAGUCUGGAAGUCAAUGUCUGAUGGCAUGGAGCGACCACUCCCCGCUGAACAUCAACAGACCCUCGGUAGAGAUCGUUAAGAGCACCAAAUUUCUUGGUGUUCAUCUGGCGGAGAAUUUCACCUGUUCCCUCAACAUCAGCUCCACAGGAAAGAAAGCCCAGCAGUGUCUCUACUUUCUGCGAAGGCUGAGGAAAGUCCAUCUCCCCCCCCCCCCCAUCCUCAUCACAUUCUACAGGGGUUGUAUUGAGAGCAUCCUGAGCAGCUGCAUCACUGCCUGGUUCGGAAAUUGCACCAUCUCGGAUCGCAAGACCCUGCAGUGCAUAGUGAGGUCAGCUGAGAAGAUCAUUGGGGUCUCUCUUCCUGCCAUCACGGACAUUUACACUACAUGCUGCAUCUGCUAAGGAAACAGCAUUAUGAAGGAUCCCACACACCCCUCAUACAAUCUCUUCUCCCUCCUGCCAUCUGGGAAAAGGCACCGAAGCAUUCGGGCCCUCACAACCAGACUGUGUAACAGUUUCUUCCCCCAAGCCAUCAGACUCCUCAAUACCAGAGCCUGGACUGAUACCUUACUGCCCUAUUGUCCUGUUUAUUGUAAUGCCUGCACUGUUUUGCAUACUUUAUUCAGUCCUGGGUAGGACUGUAGUCUAGUGUGGUUGUGUGUUUUUUUUCUCUGUGUUGUUUUUUUACAUAGUUCAGUUUUUACAUAGUUUUUGUACUGUUUCUUGUAACACCAUGGUCCUGAAAAACGUUGUCUCAUUUUUACUAUGUACUGUGCCAGCAGUUAUGGUCGAAAUGACAAUAAAAGUGCUUUGACUUGA
Molecule: long non-coding RNA, 4046 nt
Organism: Hypanus sabinus (Atlantic stingray)
Lineage: Eukaryota; Metazoa; Chordata; Chondrichthyes; Myliobatiformes; Dasyatidae
Exons: 2
Source: RefSeq, a predicted model, not a curated record